This 500-nucleotide ribosomal RNA is filed under the name Vibrio sp. ZXM003. RNAcentral describes it as "bacterial SSU rRNA". It matches the Rfam family "Bacterial small subunit ribosomal RNA", at positions 98 to 594 of the family's 1533-position model. Lineage: Bacteria; Pseudomonadati; Pseudomonadota; Gammaproteobacteria; Vibrionales; Vibrionaceae. The record is from RNAcentral.
GCGGACGGGUGAGUAAUGCCUAGGAAAUUGCCUUGAUGUGGGGGAUAACCAUUGGAAACGAUGGCUAAUACCGCAUAAUGCCUACGGGCCAAAGAGGGGGACCUUCGGGCCUCUCGCGUCAAGAUAUGCCUAGGUGGGAUUAGCUAGUUGGUGAGGUAAUGGCUCACCAAGGCGACGAUCCCUAGCUGGUCUGAGAGGAUGAUCAGCCACACUGGAACUGAGACACGGUCCAGACUCCUACGGGAGGCAGCAGUGGGGAAUAUUGCACAAUGGGCGAAAGCCUGAUGCAGCCAUGCCGCGUGUAUGAAGAAGGCCUUCGGGUUGUAAAGUACUUUCAGUUGUGAGGAAGGGGGUGUCGUUAAUAGCGGCAUCUCUUGACGUUAGCAACAGAAGAAGCACCGGCUAACUCCGUGCCAGCAGCCGCGGUAAUACGGAGGGUGCGAGCGUUAAUCGGAAUUACUGGGCGUAAAGCGCAUGCAGGUGGUUCAUUAAGUCAGAUG